This 540-nucleotide ribosomal RNA is filed under the name uncultured beta proteobacterium. Its description in RNAcentral is "bacterial SSU rRNA". It matches the Rfam family "Bacterial small subunit ribosomal RNA", at positions 96 to 630 of the family's 1533-position model. The record is from RNAcentral. Lineage: Bacteria; Pseudomonadati; Pseudomonadota; Betaproteobacteria.
UGGCGAACGGGUGAGUAAUAUAUCGGAACGUACCCUUGGGUGGGGGAUAACGUAGCGAAAGUUACGCUAAUACCGCAUACGAUCUACGGAUGAAAGUGGGGGCUCCGCAAGGACCUCAUGCUCAUGGAGCGGCCGAUAUCUGAUUAGCUAGUUGGUAGGGUAAAAGCCUACCAAGGCAUCGAUCAGUAGCUGGUCUGAGAGGACGACCAGCCACACUGGAACUGAGACACGGUCCAGACUCCUACGGGAGGCAGCAGUGGGGAAUUUUGGACAAUGGGCGAAAGCCUGAUCCAGCAAUGCCGCGUGAGUGAAGAAGGCCUUCGGGUUGUAAAGCUCUUUUGUCAGGGAAGAAACGGUUGUUCCUAAUACGGACGGCUAAUGACGGUACCUGAAGAAUAAGCACCGGCUAACUACGUGCCAGCAGCCGCGGUAAUACGUAGGGUGCAAGCGUUAAUCGGAAUUACUGGGCGUAAAGCGUGCGCAGGCGGUUAUGUAAGACAGAUGUGAAAUGCCCGGGCUUAACCUGGGAACUGCAUUUGU